GUACGGGAGGCAGCAGUAGGGAAUAUUGGACAAUGGGGGAAACCCUGAUCCAGCAAUGCCGCGUGUGCGAUGAAGGCCUGCGGGUUGUAAAGCACUUUCGGUGGGGAAGAAAUGCCCAAAGAUAAUACCUUUGGGAGCUGACGUUACCCACAGAAGAAGCACCGGCAAACUCUGUGCCAGCAGCCGCGGUAAUACAGAGGGUGCAAGCGUUAGUCGGAGUUACUGGGCGUAAAGGGCGUGUAGGCUGAUAUCCCAGUCGAUUGUGAAAUCCCCGGGCUUAACCUGGGAAUUGCAGUCGAUACUAGAUGUCUUGAGUAUGGUAGAGGAAAGUGGAAUUCUCGGUGUAGUGGUUAAAUACGUAGAUAUCGAGAAGAACAUCGGUGGCGAAGGCGGCUUUCUGGACCAAUACUGACGCUGAGGCGCGAAAGCGUGGGGAGCAAACAGGAUUAGAUACCCCUGUAGUCAC
Molecule: ribosomal RNA, 466 nt
Filed under: uncultured bacterium
Lineage: Bacteria
Description: bacterial SSU rRNA
Rfam family: Bacterial small subunit ribosomal RNA
Source: RNAcentral